RNAcentral lists this long non-coding RNA (723 nucleotides) under Homo sapiens (human). Its description in RNAcentral is "non-protein coding lnc-FMOD-2:5". Lineage: Eukaryota; Metazoa; Chordata; Mammalia; Primates; Hominidae. The record is from RNAcentral.
AGAGCAGGCAGAUGCCUGCCAGGGCCAGGGAGAGCUUUCUGAGAGGGUGGUGAGAGACUGGAGAGGUGGGAGAGGGGUAGCUAUGAAAGGAAAAUGUGUGGAGGUGACAUGGUCUGUAGGUUGGGCCAGGCCAGAAGAGAAGGUCAAAGAGAAAUGAGUGUUCCAGUCAGGCUUGAUGUCUUAGGGAAGAUCCUGGGGCCCAGCCCACUGCCCCCUCCUCUCCGUCUCUCCUGCUCCCGGGGCUGAGGGAAUGGAAGGAGCUGUGCCACUGUGAGGAGGAGGACCUGCAUCUGUGAGGGGCCUGCUGGGACCAGCUGCUGGGGAGUACAGCUUUCUCUCAGUAGCUGAAGGGGGCUGCCUCUUUUCCAAGGGGCAGCUGCCACGCCACCGCAGGAAAAUCUGGCUUGCCAUUUUGGAUACCUGGAUUUUCCCACAGUGUGAGGGGGCUGGGGGUGUGGCCCAGGAAGGUGCACCUGAGGUGGGAGAAGAAAGAAGAAGACUGGAUGGGAGUCAGCUGAAUUGGGGGCCGCAGAGGCUGGGGUGAGAGGGAGGGAAGGAGGUGUCAAAGCUCAGCCUCCCAAAGCUGAGCGAGAAGAGCAUGACGGGAGGGUGUUUCCCACCUCCUCGCCCACUCCAGCGCAGGGUCCUGUCUCCGUCCAAACGCUGCAAGCCUUUCCACAUUCCUGCACUACCUUCCUGCGCUGCCUUUGGAGAUCUGAGAGU